CGAGGAGUAUUAUCUGCAUAGAAAAUCACACAAACAAACAAUCACAGUCCCACACCCACACAAGGUACACAAUGGAUUAAAAUUCACAGAAAAAGUUAAGUAGAACCCUAAAUAAUUUGUUGCCUUAUAUAUUUGGAAAUUUCACAUGCCUAAUUAAAGUUCAAAUUCAAAUCUAAAGUCAUCAGAAACCAUCAUCAAUCACAGAUUCAUCUGAAUUCAAUAAUUUCAAAAUACAACAUGAAUUUCUAUAUAUUAGAAAAAUCCAUUAAAAUUAAAAUAAAUAGUAAGUUUGAAUGAAUAAUAGACAUUAAACACCUGAAGAUUAAAUCCAUAAAAUUUAAAUUCUAAAAUCCAUAAAAUUUGAGUCCCGAAUUCACCUGACUAUUCAUCAUUAUAUGUUAUAUAUUGUAUUAGAUGAAAAUAAAAUAUAAUGUUACAUUCUGAGAAGAGAAAAAAAAAAGGGAAGAAGAUAAUCAACAGUAAAAAAUAAAAUUACAUAAAAUAAAAAGAUUAGAGAAAUAAUUACCUGAGAUAAAUGAAUGUGAUUGAGAAUUAAGUGAAAAUUAGAUGCUCUUUUUUUUCCUUCCUUUGUGUGUAUUGUUGGUGAGUGAUUGAAGCUGCUAGAUGACCUGAUGGAACCAAAGCUAUCUAUCUAUAUUUUCUUCAAAGAAAUAAAUCCUUACAAAAUUUAAUUUUCUUUUCUCAAAUCCAAAAGAAGGAAAUUAAAAACCUCAAGAAUUUUUAUUUUUUUUAAAAAUCAACUUUAAAUUCAUUUCUUCUUUGUAAAGAAAAUAUAGAUGAAAAAUAAUUGGAUUUUGUUCUUAC
RNAcentral lists this long non-coding RNA (825 nucleotides) under Solanum tuberosum (potato). Its description in RNAcentral is "long non-coding RNA (STUB_LNC002913)". The record is from RNAcentral. Lineage: Eukaryota; Viridiplantae; Streptophyta; Magnoliopsida; Solanales; Solanaceae.